RNAcentral lists this ribosomal RNA (483 nucleotides) under uncultured bacterium. RNAcentral describes it as "partial 16S ribosomal RNA". It matches the Rfam family "Bacterial small subunit ribosomal RNA", at positions 29 to 507 of the family's 1533-position model. The record is from RNAcentral.
UUGAACGCUGGCGGCAUGCUUUACACAUGCAAGUCGAACGGCAGCGCGGGCUUCGGCCUGGCGGCGAGUGGCGAACGGGUGAGUAAUGCAUCGGAACGUGCCCAGUAGUGGGGGAUAGCCCGGCGAAAGCCGGAUUAAUACCGCAUACGACCUGAGGGUGAAAGCGGGGGACCGAAAGGCCUCGCGCUAUUGGAGCGGCCGAUGUCGGAUUAGCUAGUUGGUGGGGUAAAGGCUUACCAAGGCGACGAUCCGUAGCUGGUCUGAGAGGACGACCAGCCACACUGGGACUGAGACACGGCCCAGACUCCUACGGGAGGCAGCAGUGGGGAAUUUUGGACAAUGGGGGCAACCCUGAUCCAGCCAUGCCGCGUGCGGGAAGAAGGCCUUCGGGUUGUAAACCGCUUUUGUUCGGGAAGAAAUCCUCUGGGCUAAUACCCCGGGGGGACGACGGUACCGGAAGAAUAAGCACCGGCUAACUACGUG